CAAUUUUAAGAUAGGUGGUUAGUUAAUUUGUUGAUCUAAUUUACAGAAAUAUUUUGGUAUUUUUGUAUUAUUGUUUUGCACCAAUAACAGAUAUAUAAAGCCUUACUGUGGCAAUAAAUGAUUUACACACCUCUGCUCUGUGUGUUUAGCUGGUUCAGCUAACUUCUUUGACAGCCAAAAAACCCAGGCAAGACACUACAAGACACUUCAAGAAAUAUACAAGACCAAAAAACCGAACAAAGCUGCUGUUACCCAACUGCUGAACCUGGAGUUUGAGUCUAGAAGACAAUUCAUUAACUCUGAUGCUAUAAAGGAGCAGGACAGAGCAGUGAAGAUACUAGAGGCAUAUCCUUGUUUCAGAGAACUGGACCAUGUCCUUGAUGAGCUGCGGAGAAUUAUUCAACCAUCCAACUUGAAAUACAUUUCUGAGAUGAAGGAUAGAUGGGAAAUCUUCUACUCGAAGGUGCAGUUUUAUGGUGUCAUGAAGAAAGUUAUGAAGCCGCCAAAAACUUUGGAUGGAGUGGAACAUGCAGCAGCUGUGUUCAGAGCCCUUCCCGUGCUUUUCCCUUCCAGCACAGUACCACCUAAGAAGCUGGGCAUCUGUAGUGAGGCUUUUUUCCAUGUCCUAAAGACUUCAGAAGACCCUGAAGGCUACCUGCAUCAGCGACCCCUGGCUUGUCCAGUUCUGCUUGUCUCUGAAGGCAACUGCAUGAUAGCUGUUGGAACCACACCAGUGAGCACUUUUGACCGGAAGGAUCUUAAUGAGGGACUGCUCUAUCUGAUGGCAUAUUACUAUGCCCUCCACCUCACAUAUCCAAAGUGCAUUUCCACGCUGCUGUCUGUCUUGCAAACUGAAAUACUCAAAGACUCCAUCCAUGACCGAGAUUCAACCCCCUCUUACAGGAAGGCGCUUGGUGAGUGGAAGUCAUUCAUUGAGUGAGUCUCUCAGAUGACAGACUCCAUCUGCCUUGUUUAUCAGACUCAGUGUUGGUCAGUGAGGUUGUUUUUUUUCUCUCUAGAAAAGUUGUUCAAAUGUAAAACACAUGUUUGUUUGUGUGGUCGUUGAACUUGUUCUUCUAAAAUGUUAUGUAAUAUAGGAUUUGAAAUAGUGAUUGUUUUAAGCUUCAGCAAAAUUUAUUUUUGAUACCAGCCAUGAGUGUGUUAUACUGUUAUUAUUCAUGUUAAGAGUAUCUGGAAUAUGCACUUCUUAUAUUGGCCAUGUUACACAGUACCCUGCUGAAAUGUAUAAUUUUAGGCAUGAUUCUCCUGGAACAG
Astatotilapia calliptera (eastern happy) is the source of this 1275-nucleotide long non-coding RNA. Lineage: Eukaryota; Metazoa; Chordata; Actinopteri; Cichliformes; Cichlidae. The record is from Ensembl.